GGUGAGUAAUGUAUAGGAAUCUACCUAGUAGUACGGAAUAAUUGUUGGAAACGGCAACUAAUACCGUAUACGCCCUACGGGGGAAAAAUUUAUUGCUAUUAGAUGAGCCUAUAUUAGAUUAGUUAGUUGGUGAGGUAAAGGCUUACCAAGACAAUGAUCUAUAGCUGAUCUGAGAGGAUGAUCAGCCACACUGGAACUGAGAUACGGUCCAGACUCCUACGGGAGGCAGCAGUGGGGAAUAUUGGACAAUGGGCGAAAGCCUGAUCCAGCCAUGCCGCAUGAGUGAAGAAGGCCUUCGGGUUGUAAAGCUCUUUUAGUGAGGAAGAUAAUGACGGUACUCACAGAAGAAGUCCUGGCUAACUCCGUGCCAGCAGCCGCGGUAAUACGGAGAGGGCUAGCGUUAUUCGGAAUCAUUGGGCGUAAAGGGCGCGUAGGCGGGUUAGUAAGUUAAAAGUGAAAUCCCAAGGCUCAACCUUGGAACUGCUUUUAAAACUGCUAGUCUAGAGAUUGAAAGANGAUAGAGGAAUUCCUAGUGUAGAGAUGAAAUUCGUAAAUAUU
RNAcentral lists this ribosomal RNA (558 nucleotides) under uncultured Hyphomicrobiales bacterium. RNAcentral describes it as "bacterial SSU rRNA". It matches the Rfam family "Bacterial small subunit ribosomal RNA", at positions 105 to 698 of the family's 1533-position model. Lineage: Bacteria; Pseudomonadati; Pseudomonadota; Alphaproteobacteria; Hyphomicrobiales. The record is from RNAcentral.